UACGAGUGCCCCAAGCGUUAUCCGGAAUUACUGGGCGUAAAGCGUCUGUAGGGGGUUUUGUUAGUCUUGCGUUAAAUUUUGGGGCCCAACCCCAAAGCCGCGCAGGAAACGGCAAAACUAGAAGAUGUGAGAGGCUGAUGGAACUCACGGUGUAGGGGUGAAAUCCGUUGAUAUCGUGGGGAACACCAAAGGCGAAGGCAUUCAGCUGGCGCAUUCUUGACCCUGAGAGACGAAAGCGUGGGGAG
This 245-nucleotide ribosomal RNA is filed under the name uncultured bacterium. Its description in RNAcentral is "partial 16S ribosomal RNA". It matches the Rfam family "Bacterial small subunit ribosomal RNA", at positions 524 to 768 of the family's 1533-position model. The record is from RNAcentral.